AGAGAUGACAUCAAACUUCUUCCAGAAAUGUUGUUCCUUCAGUCUUCAGCCAGGAAGGGACAGAGAAACCAAUAGGAUACUUUGGAUUCCAUCAAGCUGUGGUGCAAAGAUUCUUGACCUCUGAGAGAGAAAUCAUGUAUCUAUGCUGUUCAAGGAACAAAAUCUGAUGCUGCAUUUGAGCAGCUGCUAUAAGCAGAACCCUUUUUUGAGGACUGAAGAUUGACAGUGAUGGCUGAUGAUCCAUGAUGAGGAUAAAUCUCUUCUGUUGCAAGUAUUUGUUGAAAUGUUUAACUUUCCAAACCAAACUCAGCAUUUUCCUGUCUAUUUGUGCAUAUUUUUCUCUGCAGCUGUGAGUGAGCAUGAUGGAAAAAUUUAUUGGGCAUUCAUUGCUGACUGACUGGACAUGUGAAAUAAACGCACUGAUGCUAAUUGUCUGAAAGUACAUCUCCUACCAUCCUCAUCUUUACAAUCCAAGGAACUAAGAAUGGUCCAUUCUAAAAUAUUUGGCAUGUUCCAUUCCUUCUUAACCUCAUCUGACUCUUACCUGACCAUUGCCUCAUCUGCCUUCUGUCUACCAAAGUCAUUCCCAUGCACCACUAUAGUUCUGGGGCUAUAUCCCUCUA
Molecule: long non-coding RNA, 623 nt
Organism: Pantherophis guttatus
Lineage: Eukaryota; Metazoa; Chordata; Lepidosauria; Squamata; Colubridae
Source: RefSeq, a predicted model, not a curated record